UUGCAGAAUGCAUAUGCGAACGCACCAGGUAUUGGUUGGCGUUUGGGUAAUCUAGUCUGGUCAUCAUCCAUUUUCCUAUAACUACAGGCCCACGAGGGAGGUUACGUUCGUGCAUUGAAUCCGCCAGAAUGACUUCAGGAUGGUCACAAUUGCUACGUUUGAAACUGGAAUAUGCCGUUCACUCUUGCGAGCCGAGUUGAAUCUCACUAUUAAUAAACGUCAUGCAAUCUAUGCCAGGUAGAUGCCCGGGAAAUCGAUAAAUACAUUGCCACAGUAAAAGGUAAACAAAGAGAAGAAUACAAAUAAAAUAGAAUAAACUAUAAGAAAAAGAAAGAAAAAAAAGACGCAGCUUUAUAUGCAGGGUACAGAGAGGACACGCAAGCUGGAAAAUAAAUAUCAAAAAAUAUCAAAAAUCAAAAACUAAGGAGAAUAUGUGGGAAUGAUACAGAAAAAACGCUCACACAUAACUGUAGAGAGAGGGAGCGGAAAACAAACAUAAAAUGGCAGAAAAGAAAAUUUCGGAAGAAAAAAAAAAUAAAAUAAAAAAUAAAAUAAAAUAAAAUAAAAAGACAUCCUGCACCGCUAGCAACAAAGACCAAGUCCAGUACAUUACCCAGAAACCGCCCACACACACCUGCCUUGUUGAAUAUCUAGCCCAAAACUCCAGACUCGAAAAAACCCUCCAAAUCCACCACCCAGACGAAAUGCGACAUCAAGAACCCAGAACACCAAAUCCCAAACACCCAACCUACUCAACACCAAGAGCCCUUCUAUAUAUCUGUACAAGACACAUAUAAUACCCACAAACAACGCAUGUAAUACAACCCCAGGAACACUCACAAAACCCCCUUUAGCCCGCUCUCAGUAAAAACCACACCCACCAUGUUAACCACCGUACAUUCCAUCCAGCUUACCAGUUAGGGGAGAAAGAAAACACCAUUUCCACCAAGACCCAUAGCUUCCGGCGG
Molecule: small RNA, 968 nt
Filed under: Histoplasma capsulatum
Lineage: Eukaryota; Fungi; Ascomycota; Eurotiomycetes; Onygenales; Ajellomycetaceae
Also listed under: 1 other name
Description: hypothetical RNA
Source: RNAcentral